RNAcentral lists this ribosomal RNA (305 nucleotides) under uncultured bacterium. Its description in RNAcentral is "bacterial SSU rRNA". It matches the Rfam family "Bacterial small subunit ribosomal RNA", at positions 334 to 636 of the family's 1533-position model. The record is from RNAcentral.
GUGGCCUACGGGACGCAGCAGUGAGGAAUAUUGGUCAAUGGCCGGAAGGCUGAACCAGCCAAGCCGCGUGAAGGACGAAGGUGCCAAGCAUUGUAAACUUCUUUUGUCAAGGGACAAAAUCAGGCUCGAGAGCCUGACCGAGGGUACUUGAAGAAAAAGCAUCGGCUAACUCCGUGCCAGCAGCCGCGGUAAUACGUAGGGAGCAAGCGUUAUCCGGAAUUAUUGGGUGUAAAGGGUGCGUAGACGGGAUGUCAAGUUAGUCGUGAAAUACCUCGGCUCAACUGAGGAACUGCAACUAAAACUAA